RNAcentral lists this ribosomal RNA (323 nucleotides) under uncultured bacterium. Its description in RNAcentral is "bacterial SSU rRNA". It matches the Rfam family "Bacterial small subunit ribosomal RNA", at positions 28 to 334 of the family's 1533-position model. The record is from RNAcentral.
GAUGAACGCUGGCGGCGUGCUUAACACAGGCAAGUCGAACGGGAAACAUUUUAUUGAAGCUUCGGCAGAUUUAGUUUGUUUCUAGUGGCGGACGGGUGAGUAACGCGUGGGUAACCUGCCUCACACUGGGGGAUAACAGUCAGAAAUGACUGCUAAUACCGCAUAAGCGCACGGGACCGCAUGGUUUUGUGUGAAAAACUCCGGUGGUGUGAGAUGGACCCGCGUUGGAUUAGCUAGUUGGCAGGGCAGCGGCCUACCAAGGCGACGAUCCAUAGCCGGCCUGAGAGGGUGAACGGCCACAUUGGGACUGAGACACGGCCCAG